RNAcentral lists this ribosomal RNA (778 nucleotides) under Enterococcus gilvus. RNAcentral describes it as "bacterial SSU rRNA". It matches the Rfam family "Bacterial small subunit ribosomal RNA", at positions 28 to 778 of the family's 1533-position model. The record is from RNAcentral. Lineage: Bacteria; Bacillati; Bacillota; Bacilli; Lactobacillales; Enterococcaceae.
GACGAACGCUGGAGGCAUGCCUAAUACAUGCAAGUCGAACGCUUUUUCUUUCACCGGAGCUUGCUCCACCGAAAGAAAAGGAGUGGCGAACGGGUGAGUAACACGUGGGUAACCUGCCCAUCAGAAGGGGAUAACACUUGGAAACAGGUGCUAAUACCGUAUAACAAUAGAAACCGCAUGGUUUCUAUUUGAAAGGCGCUUUUGCGUCACUGAUGGAUGGACCCGCGGUGCAUUAGCUAGUUGGUGAGGUAACGGCUCACCAAGGCAACGAUGCAUAGCCGACCUGAGAGGGUGAUCGGCCACAUUGGGACUGAGACACGGCCCAAACUCCUACGGGAGGCAGCAGUAGGGAAUCUUCGGCAAUGGACGRAAGUCUGACCGAGCAACGCCGCGUGAGUGAAGAAGGUUUUCGGAUCGUAAAACUCUGUUGUUAGAGAAGAACAAGGAUGAGAGUAAAAUGUUCAUCCCUUGACGGUAUCUAACCAGAAAGCCACGGCUAACUACGUGCCAGCAGCCGCGGUAAUACGUAGGUGGCAAGCGUUGUCCGGAUUUAUUGGGCGUAAAGCGAGCGCAGGCGGUUUCUUAAGUCUGAUGUGAAAGCCCCCGGCUCACCCGGGGAGGGUCAUUGGAAACUGGAGAACUUGAGUGCACAAGAGGAGAGUGGAAUUCCACGUGUAGCGGUGAAAUGCGUAGAUAUAUGGAGGAACACCAGUGGCGAAGGCGGCUCUCUGGUCUGUAACUGACGCUGAGGCUCGAAAGCGUGGGGAGCAAACAGGAU